This 460-nucleotide ribosomal RNA is filed under the name uncultured bacterium. Its description in RNAcentral is "partial 16S ribosomal RNA". It matches the Rfam family "Bacterial small subunit ribosomal RNA", at positions 338 to 795 of the family's 1533-position model. The record is from RNAcentral.
CCUACGGGAGGCAGCAGUGAGGAAUAUUGGUCAAUGGACGAGAGUCUGAACCAGCCAAGUAGCGUGAAGGAUGACUGCCCUAUGGGUUGUAAACUUCUUUUAUAAAGGAAUAAAACGAGGCACGUGUGCCUUUUUGCAUGUACUUUAUGAAUAAGGAUCGGCUAACUCCGUGCAAGCCGCCGCGGUAAUACGGAGGAUCCGAGCGUUAUCCGGAUUUAUGGGGUUUAAAGGGUGCGUAGAUGGGUUGUUAAGUCAGUUGUGAAAGUUUGCGGCUCAACCGUAAAAUUGCAAUUGAUACUGGCAGUCUUGAGUACAGUUGAGGUAGGCGGAAUUCGUGGUGUAGCGGUGAAAUGCUUAGAUAUCACGAAGAACCCCGAUUGCGAAGGCAGCUUACUAAACUGUGACUGACAUUGAUGCUCGAAAGUGUGGGUAUCAAACAGGAUUAGAUACCCUUGUAGUC